GGCUAGAUAGGUUUAAUAUUUUCUCACCAAGAUGUAAGAACUCUUAACCACUUUAAUCAUUUGGUCUUUUUUUUCCCUUUAGAACUAUGAACAUUUUCCUUCUGUGUGGAUGAAAAACAACCAUGAUUGGCUCAAUAUCCUCAUCUGUUAAACUGGGAAAAAUAUUUCCUGUUUCACAGAGUUGAAGUGAAGAUUAACUCAGAUAAUGCACUUUCAAUCCAGGACCUGGCUCAGAGUGAAACUAAACACAAGGCAAUUGUUGUCUUACUGAGAGCGAUGGCACAUACCUGAAAGCCAAAAACCUGGAAACAACUCAAAAGCACAUCAAAGAAAGAAUGAAUUAAUAAAUGGUGUAAUCAUACAAUGGAAUACAGCAUUGAAAGUAAGUGAAGGCUUUCCAUGGAUCUCAUGGGUGAAUAUUGAAACCACAAUACUGAGCAAAAGAAGUCAGAUACAGAAGAAUGCAUACUGCCAGUAUCCAAUUUAUAAAAUUGAAAAAUAGGCAAAACUAAACCAUAUUGUUUAGGGAUGCAUACACAAAUAGCAAAAACAUAAACAAGGCUAUGAUUCCCC
This 573-nucleotide long non-coding RNA is filed under the name Equus caballus (horse). RNAcentral's name for it is "lncRNA (ENSECAG00000056342.1)". The record is from RNAcentral. Lineage: Eukaryota; Metazoa; Chordata; Mammalia; Perissodactyla; Equidae.